RNAcentral lists this ribosomal RNA (870 nucleotides) under Candolleomyces candolleanus. RNAcentral's name for it is "partial large subunit ribosomal RNA". It matches the Rfam family "Eukaryotic large subunit ribosomal RNA", at positions 78 to 933 of the family's 3401-position model. The record is from RNAcentral. Lineage: Eukaryota; Fungi; Basidiomycota; Agaricomycetes; Agaricales; Psathyrellaceae.
CCCUAGUAACUGCGAGUGAAGCGGGAAAAGCUCAAAUUUAAAAUCUGGUGGUCUCUGGCCAUCCGAGUUGUAAUCUAGAGAAGUGUUACCCGCGUCGGACCGUGUAUAAGUCUCCUGGAAUGGGGCGUCAUAGAGGGUGAGAAUCCCGUCUUUGACACGGACUACCGAGGCUUUGUGGUAUGCUCUCAAAGAGUCGAGUUGUUUGGGAAUGCCAGCUCAAAAUGGGUGGUAAAUUCCAUCUAAAGCUAAAUAUUGGCGAGAGACCGAUAGCGAACAAGUACCGUGAGGGAAAGAUGAAAAGAACUUUGGAAAGAGAGUUAAACAGUACGUGAAAUUGCUGAAAGGGAAACGCUUGAAGUCAGUCGCGUUGGCCGGGAAUCAGCCUUGCUUUUGCUUGGUGUACUUUCUGGUUGACGGGCCAGCAUCAGUUUUGACCGGUGGAAAAAGUUCAGGGGAAUGUGGCAUCUUCGGGUGUGUUAUAGCCCUUGUUCGUAUACAUCGGUUGGGACUGAGGAACUCAGCACGCCGCAAGGCCGGGUCUUUGACCACGUUCGUGCUUAGGAUGCUGGCAUAAUGGCUUUAAUCGACCCGUCUUGAAACACGGACCAAGGAGUCUAACAUGCCUGCGAGUGUUUGGGUGGAAAACCCGAGCGCGUAAUGAAAGUGAAAGUUGAGAUCCCUGUCAUGGGGAGCAUCGACGCCCGGACCUGACGUUUUCUGACGGCCCUGCGGUAGAGCAUGUAUGUUGGGACCCGAAAGAUGGUGAACUAUGCCUGAAUAGGGUGAAGCCAGAGGAAACUCUGGUGGAGGCUCGUAGCGAUUCUGACGUGCAAAUCGAUCGUCAAAUUUGGGUAUAGGGGCGAAAGACUA